RNAcentral lists this ribosomal RNA (495 nucleotides) under uncultured bacterium. RNAcentral's name for it is "partial 16S ribosomal RNA". It matches the Rfam family "Bacterial small subunit ribosomal RNA", at positions 28 to 507 of the family's 1533-position model. The record is from RNAcentral.
GAUGAACGCUGGCGGCGUGCCUAAUACAUGCAAGUAGAACGCUGAAGGAGGAGCUUGCUCUUCUGGAUGAGUUGCGAACGGGUGAGUAACGCGUAGGUAACCUGCCUGGUAGCGGGGGAUAACUAUUGGAAACGAUAGCUAAUACCGCAUGACAACAGUUAUUGCAUGAUAACUGUUUAAAAGGGGCAACUGCUCCACUACCAGAUGGACCUGCGUUGUAUUAGCUAGUUGGUGAGGUAACGGCUCACCAAGGCGACGAUACAUAGCCGACCUGAGAGGGGGAUCGGCCACACUGGGACUGAGACACGGCCCAGACUCCUACGGGAGGAAGCAGUAGGGAAUCUUCGGCAAUGGAAGGAAGUCUGACCGAGCAACGCAGCGUGAGUGAAGAAGGUUGUCGGAUCGUAAAGCUCUGUUGUAAGAGAAGAACGAGUGUGAGAGUGGAAAGUUCACACUGUGACGGUAUCUUACCAGAAAGGGACGGCUAACUACGUG